GACGUAGGGCGCGAGCGUUGUCCGGAUUUAUUGGGCGUAAAGAGCUCGUAGGCGGCUUGUUGCGUCGUCCGUGAAAACCCACGGCUUAACUGUGGGCUUGCGGUCGAUACGGGCGGGCUGGAGUUCGGUAGGGGAGACUGGAAUUCCUGGUGUAGCGGUGAAAUGCGCAGAUAUCAGGAGGAACACCGGUGGCGAAGGCGGGUCGCUGGGCAACAACUGACGCUGAGGAGCGAAAGCGUGGGGAGCGAACAGG
This 253-nucleotide ribosomal RNA is filed under the name uncultured bacterium. RNAcentral describes it as "partial 16S ribosomal RNA". It matches the Rfam family "Bacterial small subunit ribosomal RNA", at positions 524 to 776 of the family's 1533-position model. The record is from RNAcentral.